Molecule: ribosomal RNA, 654 nt
Filed under: uncultured bacterium
Lineage: Bacteria
Description: bacterial SSU rRNA
Rfam family: Bacterial small subunit ribosomal RNA
Source: RNAcentral
GAAAGGCGCUUUCGGGUGUCGCUGAUGGAUGGACCCGCGGUGCAUUAGCUAGUUGGUGAGGUAACGGCUCACCAAGGCGACGAUGCAUAGCCGACCUGAGAGGGUGAUCGGCCACAUUGGGACUGAGACACGGCCCAAACUCCUACGGGAGGCAGCAGUAGGGAAUCUUCGGCAAUGGACGAAAGUCUGACCGAGCAACGCCGCGUGAGUGAAGAAGGUUUUCGGAUCGUAAAACUCUGUUGUUAGAGAAGAACAAGGAUGAGAGUAACUGUUCAUCCCUUGACGGUAUCUAACCAGAAAGCCACGGCUAACUACGUGCCAGCAGCCGCGGUAAUACGUAGGUGGCAAGCGUUGUCCGGAUUUAUUGGGCGUAAAGCGAGCGCAGGCGGUUUCUUAAGUCUGAUGUGAAAGCCCCCGGCUCAACCGGGGAGGGUCAUUGGAAACUGGGAGACUUGAGUGCAGAAGAGGAGAGUGGAAUUCCAUGUGUAGCGGUGAAAUGCGUAGAUAUAUGGAGGAACACCAGUGGCGAAGGCGGCUCUCUGGUCUGUAACUGACGCUGAGGCUCGAAAGCGUGGGGAGCAAACAGGAUUAGAUACCCUGGUAGUCCACGCCGUAAACGAUGAGUGCUAAGUGUUGGAGGGUUUCCGCCCUUCA